Molecule: non-coding RNA, 30 nt
Filed under: Mus musculus (house mouse)
Lineage: Eukaryota; Metazoa; Chordata; Mammalia; Rodentia; Muridae
Source: RNAcentral
UAUAACAGGUUGUUAGCUUGAUUUCUGACU